GGAUGUGAUCAUACCAGCACUAAAGCACCGGAUCCCAUUAGAACUCCGAAGUUAAGCGUGCUUGGGCGAGAGUAGUACUAGGAUGGGUGACCUCCUGGGAAGUCCUCGUGUUGCAUUCC
This 119-nucleotide ribosomal RNA is filed under the name Triticum aestivum (bread wheat). The record is from RNAcentral. RNAcentral also lists the same sequence under 1 other name. Lineage: Eukaryota; Viridiplantae; Streptophyta; Magnoliopsida; Poales; Poaceae.